UGGACGUACUUGUACUGAUUGAGAUUUUAACACGAAGUGAGUGGCGAACGGGUGAGUAACACGUGGGUAACCUGCCCAGAAGUAGGGGAUAACACCUGGAAACAGAUGCUAAUACCGUAUAACAGAGAAAACCGCAUGGUUUUCUUUUAAAAGAUGGCUCUGCUAUCACUUCUGGAUGGACCCGCGGCGUAUUAGCUAGUUGGUGAGGUAAAGGCUCACCAAGGCAGUGAUACGUAGCCGACCUGAGAGGGUAAUCGGCCACAUUGGGACUGAGACACGGCCCAGACUCCUACGGGAGGCAGCAGUAGGGAAUCUUCCACAAUGGACGCAAGUCUGAUGGAGCAACGCCGCGUGAGUGAAGAAGGGUUUCGGCUCGUAAAGCUCUGUUGUUAAAGAAGAACGUGGGUAAGAGUAACUGUUUACCCAGUGACGGUAUUUAACCAGAAAGCCACGGCUAACUACGUGCCAGCAGCCGCGGUAAUACGUAGGUGGCAAGCGUUAUCCGGAUUUAUUGGGCGUAAAGCGAGCGCAGGCGGUCUUUUAAGUCUAAUGUGAAAGCCUUCGGCUCAACCGAAGAAGUGCAUUGGAAACUGGGAGACUUGAGUGCAGAAGAGGACAGUGGAACUCCAUGUGUAGCGGUGAAAUGCGUAGAUAUAUGGAAGAACACCAGUGGCGAAGGCGGCUGUCUGGUCUGCAACUGACGCUGAGGCUCGAAAGCAUGGGUAGCGAACAGGAUUAGAUACCCUGGUAGUCCAUGCCGUAAACGAUGAUUACUAAGUGUUGGAGGGUUUCCGCCCUUCAGUGCUGCAGCUAACGCAUUAAGUAAUCCGCCUGGGGAGUACGACCGCAAGGUUGAAACUCAAAAGAAUUGACGGGGGCCCGCACAAGCGGUGGAGCAUGUGGUUUAAUUCGAAGCUACGCGAAGAACCUUACCAGGUCUUGACAUCUUCUGACAGUCUAAGAGAUUAGAGGUUCCCUUCGGGGACAGAAUGACAGGUGGUGCAUGGUUGUCGUCAGCUCGUGUCGUGAGAUGUUGGGUUAAGUCCCGCAACGAGCGCAACCCUUAUUACUAGUUGCCAGCAUUAAGUUGGGCACUCUAGUGAGACUGCCGGUGACAAACCGGAGGAAGGUGGGGACGACGUCAAAUCAUCAGCCCCUUAUGACCUGGGCUACACGUGCU
This 1180-nucleotide ribosomal RNA is filed under the name Pediococcus pentosaceus. RNAcentral describes it as "bacterial SSU rRNA". It matches the Rfam family "Bacterial small subunit ribosomal RNA", at positions 59 to 1226 of the family's 1533-position model. The record is from RNAcentral. Lineage: Bacteria; Bacillati; Bacillota; Bacilli; Lactobacillales; Lactobacillaceae.